AAAGCAUGAUGAAAGCUUUCCCUAAGCUUCUUCUUAAUCUUUCCCACGAUUCAUAGAUAGAUUCACCUUUUUACUGGGUAAAUGAUGUGAUCUCAUUUCUAAGUUU
This is a small nucleolar RNA of Dendrobium catenatum, 106 nucleotides long. NCBI's taxonomy places the organism in Eukaryota, Viridiplantae, Streptophyta, Magnoliopsida, Asparagales, Orchidaceae. The record is from RefSeq and is a predicted model, not a curated record.